UCCGAGUUGACCCCGGCAGUCUCCUAUGAGUCCCCGACAUUACUCGCUGGCAACAUAGGACGAGGGUUGCGCUCGUUGCGGGACUUAACCCAACAUCUCACGACACGAGCUGACGACAACCAUGCACCACCUGUGCACGACCCUUACGGACCUCCCAUCUCUGGAAGAUUUCCGUGCAUGUCAAGCCUAGGUAAGGUUCUUCGCGUUGCAUCGAAUUAAGCAACAUGCUCCGCCGCUUGUGCGGGCCCCCGUCAAUUCCUUUGAGUUUUAGCCUUGCGGCCGUAGUCCCCAGGCGGCGGACUUAAUGCGUUAGCUGCGGCGCUGAACAGCAAGCUGCCCAACGGCUAGCAUUCAUCGUUUAAGGCCAGGACUAC
RNAcentral lists this unclassified non-coding RNA (374 nucleotides) under uncultured Geodermatophilaceae bacterium. Its description in RNAcentral is "contains 16S-23S intergenic spacer region". Lineage: Bacteria; Bacillati; Actinomycetota; Actinomycetes; Geodermatophilales; Geodermatophilaceae. The record is from RNAcentral.